This 488-nucleotide unclassified non-coding RNA is filed under the name Hevea brasiliensis (rubber tree). The record is from RNAcentral. Lineage: Eukaryota; Viridiplantae; Streptophyta; Magnoliopsida; Malpighiales; Euphorbiaceae.
AGGGAUUUUCUUAGUUUUGAGAUCAUCAAUACUACAAAGAUGCAGGCAAAUCUACAUAACAAAAACUCUAAUAGAGAAGUGGACCUGAGAGAUUGCAUCAUUUACAGUAACGAUCGGCCUUCUUCUUCACUCGGUCGUCGAGGGCAUCCUCCAUAGAUUUGAAAUUUGAUUUUUCAUUAUAACCGAAUUUCUUGGCCUCCACGGGGAAGAGCUCCUCGUACUGGAGGCGCUUCGCCGCAUCGAUUGUGUAAACCUCGCCUGCAGCACCAACAUCGCCGCCAGUUUCAGUAUUCUCUGUCUCUACCUCGGCAGCGGAGGAUAUAUUUGUUUCAUCCUUAAUCUUGUUCUUUUUCUUCUUCUUCUUCUUGUCGAUGGCUUUGCUGGUGGUGGCGACGCUUCCUCCCUUGAAGGUGAGUCUCCCUUCUUUCACUUUCUCAUAUGGAUUCGACAUCGCAUUGCACAGCUCUUGGCCGCAUUCUUACCCUCGC